GAUGAAGAACGUAGCGAAAUGCGAUAAGUAAUGUGAAUUGCAGAAUUCAGUGAAUCAUCGAAUCUUUGAACGCACAUUGCGCCCGCCAGCACUCUGGCGGGCAUGCCUGUUCGAGCGUCAUUUCAACCAUCAAGCCCCCAGGGGCUUGUGCUGGGGCCCUGCGGCUGCCCGCAGGCCCUGAAAACCAGUGGCGGGCUCGCUAGUCACACCGAGCGCAGUAGCACAUCUCGCUCAGGGCGUGCGGCGGGCUCCUGCCGUGAAACCCCCCACUGUAACCCCAAAGGUUGACCUCGGAUCAGGUAGGAAUACCCGCUGAAAUUAAGCAUAUCAAUAAGCGGAGGA
RNAcentral lists this unclassified non-coding RNA (342 nucleotides) under soil metagenome. RNAcentral's name for it is "partial contains 5.8S ribosomal RNA, internal transcribed spacer 2, and large subunit ribosomal RNA". The stretch from base 1 to 120 matches the Rfam family "5.8S ribosomal RNA", at positions 35 to 154 of the family's 154-position model. The record is from RNAcentral.